Marmota monax (woodchuck) is the source of this 1161-nucleotide long non-coding RNA. RefSeq lists it as uncharacterized. NCBI's taxonomy places the organism in Eukaryota, Metazoa, Chordata, Mammalia, Rodentia, Sciuridae. The transcript has 3 exons. The record is from RefSeq and is a predicted model, not a curated record.
AUGAUUCAUAGAUGUUAUUGUUUUUAUAAGAAUGUAUUUGAAAACAUUUAUUCUCUGUGUACACAGUUUAUGUAGGAAACUAGCUCCAUGAAAUCUCUUGGCUAGGAAGCCUGUAUAAGGACUUUUUCCAUCUGAUACUGAGGACAGGUUUCAUGGGAAACUCAACCAUAUGAAGGUUACAUACCUUUUUCCCCCUGGAGGACUUCAGCUUUGCUUAUCCAAGUGUGGUUCUCUGUCCUGGAGCUUGUUUGAAAUGCAGACUGAUGAACCUGUGGAAAGAACCAGACAAGGAUCAUAAUAAAGGUGCUAUGAAAGAAUGUAAGACAGGAAAAUAAUUAAAUAUUUUUACUGUGAGUUUCUGGUGAUGCUGAUGAUGGCAAUGAUCAUGAUGACAAUGAUGGUGAUGGUGAUGAUGGUGAUGAUGAUGAUGGCAGUGGCAAUAAUGAUGACAAUGAUUAUGAUGGUGAUGACAGCAAUGGUUAUGCCAAUGAUAGUGACAUAAUGUUGAUGGGAAUGAUGUCAUGAAGAGGAUGAUGACCAUGUGAUGAUGAUAAAUGUUAGCAGCUGACAUGAAUUAAAUUAUUUUAUCUUUCCCAUUGGGCAGAGUCCAGCCUAGAUUCUGUUGCCCUCAGACUUGGUCAUGUGAUCUGUUUCACCAGUGAGAGGAGAGUUGACAGUGGAUUCUUUGGGCGGCAUGAUGGGAUUCCACUUACACAUCAGUUUCUGUUGGAAACAUGGCCUCACAUCUCAGCUCUUCAGAAACAAGUUUAGGUAGAGAAAGGGUCUGUGAAAUUGGGUGGUGUGUGCUGAGUUCCUGUGGCAGAUGUUGAUUCAGGAUUUUCUGAACAUUUAUUGAGCAUCUCUGUUCUAGGCAUUGGGGAUAGAAUGUAAUUGGAGCUUAUAAUUUUGAGAGGGGAGAGAGAAAAAAGUAAAUAUAGAGUAGAUCAGGAAAGGUAAAGGGCAAUGGGCACAAUGUGGGGGGCACAGAGAUUGUCUGUUGGAGACAGGGAUGAGAGGAGGGAACCUCCAAACUGUUGAAAAGCUCAUGUCCAAGCAAAAUCCAGAGUGAAUGAGUGGGUAGUCCAUGUGAUAAAUGGGGAUGGGAAAGUUCUAGAGGGAGAAGUUUAUGGCAAGGGCCCUGGGGAUAACAUAGAAAGCUGA